GCAAACUUGGUCAUUUAGAGGAAGUAAAAGUCGUAACAAGGUCUCCGUUGGUGAACCAGCGGAGGGAUCAUUACAGAGUUUAUUAAACUCCCAACCCUUUGUGAACUUACCUUUGUUGCCUCGGCAGGGCCGACGUCCGCUGGAGCGCCUACUCUGUAGGCCUCUCGCGGUCGCUGGACCACCCCCUGCCGGCGGCCCAUGAAACUCUGUUUUAGUGGAUUGUUACUCUGAAUCAAUACAAAAUACGUUAAAAACUUUCAACAACGGAUCUCUUGGUUCUGGCAUCGAUGAAGAACGCAGC
This 301-nucleotide unclassified non-coding RNA is filed under the name uncultured fungus. Its description in RNAcentral is "partial contains small subunit ribosomal RNA, internal transcribed spacer 1, and 5.8S ribosomal RNA". The stretch from base 1 to 73 matches the Rfam family "Eukaryotic small subunit ribosomal RNA", at positions 1759 to 1831 of the family's 1831-position model. Lineage: Eukaryota; Fungi. The record is from RNAcentral.